RNAcentral lists this unclassified non-coding RNA (608 nucleotides) under Hevea brasiliensis (rubber tree). Lineage: Eukaryota; Viridiplantae; Streptophyta; Magnoliopsida; Malpighiales; Euphorbiaceae. The record is from RNAcentral.
AAGAAGAUUAAACAGAAGAACAAGGUAUUAUCAUGGCAUCGGAUAUUUUCUUUAUAUGGUCUUUUUCUCUUCUUUAUCGCCUAACGUUUAUAUUUUCUUUUUUCUUCUCAGUUUUUGUUCAAUUUUUGUCUACCCUUAAUGGGUCUCCUAGGGAUCACUCUCUCUCUCUUUCUCUCCUAGGGGCUGAAUACUUAGUGUUUAUGAUUUAAGUAUUUAAUUUAGUAUAAAUUACAAUAUAAUCUUGAUAGUUUAGUGAAACCUAUAAUUUAAUCUCUAUAUUUUCAAAACAAAAAAAUUUAAUUAUUCAGCUUUAAUUAUACAUACAAUGAAAUAUUCGAGUGUACAUUUUGUGCUAGAAUUUGGAUAAUGGUCUUGCCCAUCUGGUUUUAGGGAGGUUUCUUCCACCUCCUCUGACCUCGUUAUUAGUGGAUUGUUGUAAUUGCCUUUCGAUCUGGUACCAUCACAAUUUUGUACCCAAAUAUUUUCCCACUUGAUUUGUUUCUUACAAAAUAUAGAUCUUGAUAGUCAUUACUGAUUUGUUUAAGAAAAAAGGACCAACUUAAAGAAAAAUUAAAGAGUAUUUGGGAUUAGGGAUAGGAAUUGGGAAA